GAUGAACGCUGGCGGCGUGCCUAAUACAUGCAAGUCGAGCGAACAGACGAGGAGCUUGCUCCUCUGACGUUAGCGGCGGACGGGUGAGUAACACGUGGAUAACCUACCUCUAAGACUGGGAUAACUUCGGGAAACCGGAGCUAAUACCGGAUAAUAUAUUGAACCGCAUGGUUCAAUAGUGAAAGACGGUUUUGCUGUCACUUAUAGAUGGAUCCGCGCCGCAUUAGCUAGUUGGUAAGGUAACGGCUUACCAAGGCGACGAUGCUUAGCCGACCUGAGAGGGUGAUCGGCCACACUGGAACUGGGACACGGUCCAGACUCCUACGGGAGGCAGCAGUAGGGAAUCUUCCGCAAUGGGCGAAGUCCUGACGGAGCAACGCCGCGUGAGUGAUGAAGGUCUUCGGAUCGUAAAACUCUUUUAUUAGGGAAGAACAAAUGUGUAAGUAACUAGGCACGUCUUGACGGUACCUAAUCAGAAAGCCACGGCUAACUACGUG
Molecule: ribosomal RNA, 497 nt
Filed under: uncultured bacterium
Lineage: Bacteria
Description: partial 16S ribosomal RNA
Rfam family: Bacterial small subunit ribosomal RNA
Source: RNAcentral